GAUGAACGCUGGCGGCGUGCCUAAUACAUGCAAGUCGAGCGAACAGACGAGGAGCUUGCUCCUCUGACGUUAGCGGCGGACGGGUGAAUAACACGUGGAUAACCUACCUAUAAGACUGGGAUAACUUCGGGAAACCGGAGCUAAUACCGGAUAACAUGUUGAACCGCAUGGUUCAACAGUGAAAGACGGUCUUGCUGUCACUUAUAGAUGGAUCCGCGCCGCAUUAGCUAGUUGGUAAGGUAACGGCUUACCAAGGCAACGAUGCGUAGCCGACCUGAGAGGGUGAUCGGCCACACUGGAACUGAGACACGGUCCAGACUCCUACGGGAGGCAGCAGUAGGGAAUCUUCCGCAAUGGGCGAAAGCCUGACGGAGCAACGCCGCGUGAGUGAAGAAGGUCUUCGGAUCGUAAAACUCUGUUAUUAGGGAAGAACAAAUGUGUAAGUAACUAUGCACGUCUUGACGGUACCUAAUCAGAAAGCCACGGCUAACUACGUG
This 497-nucleotide ribosomal RNA is filed under the name uncultured bacterium. RNAcentral describes it as "partial 16S ribosomal RNA". It matches the Rfam family "Bacterial small subunit ribosomal RNA", at positions 28 to 507 of the family's 1533-position model. The record is from RNAcentral.